CCGAGUUAUACAACUCAUCAACCCUGUGAACAUACCUAUAACGUUACCUCGGCGGGAACAGACGGCCCCGUAACACGGGCCGCCCCCGCCAGAGGACCCCCUAACUCUGUUUCUAUAAUGUUUCUUCUGAGUAAACAAGCAAAUAAAUUA
RNAcentral lists this unclassified non-coding RNA (150 nucleotides) under soil metagenome. Its description in RNAcentral is "partial internal transcribed spacer 1". The record is from RNAcentral.